UGUCCUCCAUCUGCUGGGGGCAGAUGAAGUGGAUGUGGCUGUCCAUGCCUCCGGCCGUCAGGAUGCGUCCCUCGCCCGCGAUCACCUCGGUGCCGGGGCCGACGACGAUGUCGACGCCGGGCUGGGUGUCGGGGUUGCCGGCCUUGCCGAUGGCGUGGAUCAGCCCGUCCUUCAGCGCCACGUCGGCCUUGUAGAUGCCGGAGUGGUCGACGAUCAGCGCGUUGGUGAUGACGGUGUCGACGGCGCCCCCGGCGCGGGUGACCUGCGAUUGCCCCAUGCCGUCGCGGAUCA
This 291-nucleotide small RNA is filed under the name Oceanicola granulosus HTCC2516. RNAcentral's name for it is "5' ureB small RNA". It matches the Rfam family "5' ureB small RNA". Lineage: Bacteria; Pseudomonadati; Pseudomonadota; Alphaproteobacteria; Rhodobacterales; Roseobacteraceae. The record is from Rfam by way of RNAcentral.